UGAUUCUGGUCUGUGUGCUUAGACU
This 25-nucleotide non-coding RNA is filed under the name Rattus norvegicus (Norway rat). Lineage: Eukaryota; Metazoa; Chordata; Mammalia; Rodentia; Muridae. The record is from RNAcentral.